RNAcentral lists this ribosomal RNA (253 nucleotides) under uncultured bacterium. RNAcentral's name for it is "partial 16S ribosomal RNA". It matches the Rfam family "Bacterial small subunit ribosomal RNA", at positions 524 to 776 of the family's 1533-position model. The record is from RNAcentral.
UACGGAGGGUGCAAGCGUUAUCCGGAUUUACUGGGUUUAAAGGGUGCGUAGGUGGACUAGUAAGUCAGUGGUGAAAUCUCCGGGCUUAACCCGGAAACUGCCAUUGAUACUAUUGGUCUUGAAUACUUUGGAGGUAAGCGGAAUAUGUCAUGUAGCGGUGAAAUGCUUAGAUAUGACAUAGAACACCAAUUGCGAAGGCAGCUUACUACACAACGAUUGACGCUGAGGCACGAAAGCGUGGGGAUCAAACAGG